Molecule: long non-coding RNA, 1413 nt
Filed under: Lepisosteus oculatus (spotted gar)
Lineage: Eukaryota; Metazoa; Chordata; Actinopteri; Semionotiformes; Lepisosteidae
Description: lncRNA (ENSLOCG00000021697.1)
Source: RNAcentral
GUCUUCUUCACCUGUACUUUAUGUGUAGAUCGAGGAAAGCACACCUUGCCAAAACUAUAGGCAGCAAAAGCAUGUUUGCGUUUUCGGAAGCUGACGGUACGUAACUACCUUUGUGCCUAAAGAUACAUGAUGAAAAUGUUGUAUUUCCCUCGGAGUGCUCUUUAAAAACAUGACUUGUUUAAGUGUCCUGGAGAUGUGUGCAUGUACAGUACAACAGCCAGGAACGGGGGAAAAGGUAGGGGAGACACGAAGAGAUGUCGUGCCUUUUCUAUUUCAAAGCCGACCCCCCUGCUCAUCGCCGCGUUCUCCUAACCUGUCACUGCCGGCGCAAACGGAGUGAGAAAGCGGACUGGCAGCGGUUCUCGGCCCCUAGCAGAUUUAUUUGGAAGUUUGAACUAAUAUUUAUGUAACCCGUGGGGACCUGCGUGGGAGUUCUUUUUUUUUCUUCGAGAUAGAGCGGCAGGUCCAUUAAUACCGCCAGCAGCCCGGGCGAGAGGUUGCAACGGGCGGCAGAGGAUUACCACAUAAAAAUUAUCUGGUGACUCAGCAGCCAAAAAUGCUCCAGUCUAAGAAGAGCUCUGGGGAGGGAGGCUGUACAGCGCCACUUAGAGCGCGAAGGCCAUUCUUCUCCGAUAGCAGCGGCUGCGAGAGCCUCUCUCCCAAGCUGGUCCACGGGGCUUCACGUUCAUCAGAUUCUGCAGCGGACUCUUCACUUGGACUGAAUAGGCAGAGAUUGAUUGGCGGCGAAGGAUUUUUUCCAGGGGACUUUGAAGAUGUUUAUUCUUCUUCUGAGUGGAAAUUUACACAGGCUUGACUGGGCCCCCCAGUGAAAGUGACCCUGGACAGAUAAGCAGAAUUCCAUUGGGAAUUCCGAUCGGUAUGUGUGCUGGGGUGGAGUGGGGAGGGAUACAGCCACUGCUCAGGUCUUCAGAGAUCGGGGAAACACCUAAAGACCUCUACAGGUAACAUAAUCGAUCCCAUGGAAUAGCCUAAUUUUUUUAAAAUGGCUGUUUAGAGAGGGUUCAAGGGCUUUGAAGUUGAUGAAAGCUCAUUUUUCAUAGGAAAUGUUUCUUUCUACAAUUGCUUUCAAAUAUUCCACUGGUAUUUGAAGUGCCCACUAUCAUGUUAAGAUCAUUCCAAGGCAAGUGAUCUAUGCGUCUGUUAUCAGGAUCCUUUUGUUAAAGAUCAUGACAAUCUGGAGCCCAUCUUGGCAGUACAGGACACAAAGCAGGAGCACACCAUGAGGAGCAGUGUCAGUGUGGAUUUGUGGCAUGGGCUCGAAAUCCUUCGUUAAAGGGUUGUGGGUUCACAUGAGGUACUGAUUGGCCACCAGCCUGGACACAGCAAUUAAGGUAAUAAAUUCAGCACUUUUUCUGUUUUUGUUUUGAUUAUAUCAUCUGCAGCUGUUAAAUG